GAUGAACGCUAGCGGGAGGCCUAACACAUGCAAGCCGAGCGGUAUUUUUUCUUCGGAACAGAGAGAGCGGCGCACGGGUGCGGAACACGUGUGCAACCUGCCUUUAUCUGGGGGAUAGCCUUUCGAAAGGAAGAUUAAUACCCCAUAAUAUAUUGAGUGGCAUCACUUGAUAUUGAAAACUCCGGUGGAUAGAGAUGGGCACGCGCAAGAUUAGAUAGUUGGUGAGGUGACGGCUCACCAAGUCAAUGAUCUUUAGGGGGCCUGAGAGGGUGAUCCCCCACACUGGUACUGAGACACGGACCAGACUCCUACGGGAGGCAGCAGUGAGGAAUAUUGGACAAUGGGUUAGCGCCUGAUCCAGCCAUCCCGCGUGAAGGACGACGGCCCUAUGGGUUGUAAACUUCUUUUGUAUAGGGAUAAACCUACUCUCGUGAGAGUAGCUGAAGGUACUAUACGAAUAAGCACCGGCUAACUCCGUG
RNAcentral lists this ribosomal RNA (479 nucleotides) under uncultured bacterium. RNAcentral describes it as "partial 16S ribosomal RNA". It matches the Rfam family "Bacterial small subunit ribosomal RNA", at positions 28 to 507 of the family's 1533-position model. The record is from RNAcentral.